CACAUGCAAGUCGAGCGGUAAGGCCCUUCGGGGUACACGAGCGGCGAACGGGUGAGUAACACGUGGGUGAUCUGCCUCGCACUCUGGGAUAAGCCUGGGAAACUGGGUCUAAUACCGGAUACGACCAGGGACUGCAUGGUCUUUGGUGGAAAGGUUUACUGGUGCGAGAUGGGCCCGCGGCCUAUCAGCUUGUUGGUGGGGUAACGGCCUACCAAGGCGACGACGGGUAGCCGACCUGAGAGGGUGACCGGCCACACUGGGACUGAGACACGGCCCAGACUCCUACGGGAGGCAGCAGUGGGGAAUAUUGCACAAUGGGCGAAAGCCUGAUGCAGCGACGCCGCGUGAGGGAUGACGGCCUUCGGGUUGUAAACCUCUUUUGACAGGGACGAAGCGCAAGUGACGGUACCUGUAGAAGAAGCACCGGCCAACUACGUGCCAGCAGCCGCGGUAAUACGUAGGGUGCGAGCGUUGUCCGGAAUUACUGGGCGUAAAGAGCUUGUAGGCGGUCUGUCACGUCUUCUGUGAAAACUUGGGGCUCAACCUUAAGCUUGCAGGGGAUACGGGCAGACUAGAGUACUUCAGGGGAGACUGGAAUUCCUGGUGUAGCGGUGAAAUGCGCAGAUAUCAGGAGGAACACCGGUGGCGAAGGCGGGUCUCUGGGAAGUAACUGACGCUGAGAAGCGAAAGCGUGGGUAGCGAACAGGAUUAGAUACCCUGGUAGUCCACGCCGUAAACGGUGGGUACUAGGUGUGGGUUUCCUUCCACGGGAUCCGUGCCGUAGCUAACGCAUUAAGUACCCCGCCUGGGGAGUACGGCCGCAAGGCUAAAACUCAAAGGAAUUGACGGGGGCCCGCACAAGCGGCGGAGCAUGUGGAUUAAUUCGAUGCAACGCGAAGAACCUUACCUGGGUUUGACAUACACCGGAAAGCCAUAGAGAUAUGGCCCCCCUUGUGGC
Molecule: ribosomal RNA, 958 nt
Filed under: Nocardia sp. AL294
Lineage: Bacteria; Bacillati; Actinomycetota; Actinomycetes; Mycobacteriales; Nocardiaceae
Description: bacterial SSU rRNA
Rfam family: Bacterial small subunit ribosomal RNA
Source: RNAcentral